This 75-nucleotide transfer RNA is filed under the name Caudoviricetes sp. Its description in RNAcentral is "tRNA-Ile". It matches the Rfam family "tRNA". From Rfam's summary of the family: Transfer RNA (tRNA) molecules are approximately 80 nucleotides in length. Their secondary structure includes four short double-helical elements and three loops (D, anti-codon, and T loops). The record is from RNAcentral. Lineage: Duplodnaviria; Heunggongvirae; Uroviricota; Caudoviricetes.
UAGGAGUUAGCUCAGUUGGUAGAGCGGUCGGGUUAUGACCGGCGUGUCACGGGUUCGAAUCCUGUACUCCUAUUA